This 393-nucleotide ribosomal RNA is filed under the name uncultured bacterium. Its description in RNAcentral is "partial 16S ribosomal RNA". It matches the Rfam family "Bacterial small subunit ribosomal RNA", at positions 523 to 918 of the family's 1533-position model. The record is from RNAcentral.
CUACGGAGGAUGCGAGCGUUAUCCGGAUUUAUUGGGUUUAAAGGGUGCGUAGGCGGAAAGUUAAGUCAGCGGUGAAACGCAGGUGCUCAACACCUGACCUGCCGUUGAGACUGGUUUUCUAGAAUGCGGAUGCUGUGGGAGGAAUGUGUGGUGUAGCGGUGAAAUGCAUAGAUAUCACACAGAACACCGAUUGCGAAGGCAUCUCACAAAUCCGCGAUUGACGCUGAGGCACGAAGGUGCGGGGAUCGAACAGGAUUAGAUACCCUGGUAGUCCGCACAGUAAACGAUGAUAACUCGCUGUCGGCGAUAGACAGUCGGUGGCCAAGCGAAAGCGAUAAGUUAUCCACCUGGGGAGUACGACCGCAAGGUUGAAACUCAAAGGAAUUGACGGGG